ACGACUCUCGGCAACGGAUAUCUCGGCUCACGCAUCGAUGAAGAACGUAGCAAAAUGCGAUACUUGGUGUGAAUUGCAGAAUCCCGUGAACCAUCGAGUUUUUGAACGCAAGUUGCGCCCGAAGCCAUUCGGCUGAGGGCACGUCUGCCUGGGCGUCACGCAUC
RNAcentral lists this ribosomal RNA (164 nucleotides) under Volutaria dhofarica. RNAcentral's name for it is "5.8S ribosomal RNA". It matches the Rfam family "5.8S ribosomal RNA". From Rfam's summary of the family: 5.8S ribosomal RNA (5.8S rRNA) is a component of the large subunit of the eukaryotic ribosome. It is transcribed by RNA polymerase I as part of the 45S precursor that also contains 18S and 28S rRNA. Functionally, it is thought that 5.8S rRNA may be involved in ribosome translocation. The record is from RNAcentral. Lineage: Eukaryota; Viridiplantae; Streptophyta; Magnoliopsida; Asterales; Asteraceae.